GGGUCAUCGUCCUUGACUUUGUGGGAUUAAGCAUGGCUUUCGACGUUAGCAGAGAAACUAGUUGGAAGUUGUUCGCAGCUCUCAUUUUGUUGAGUUAUUUAUGCCCAUGUCCACACUGUUAUGCUUUGGCUAUAGUGAAGAAGGUUGAGCCAAGCAUUGCAAGCGGUGAGGCAUCAAAAGAGGGUGUCCUAGCGGGAAGUAUUCUCUUUGGCAGCACCGUGGAUCGUGCCGAGUCAUUAACGGGGCUUCUUGGCUCUUAUCAAGCAGAUGAUGCAGGAACAGCUGGCCUUUUUUUGGCUAAUUCGGGUUGGAGGCAAAUGGAUACUUCCUUAAAAUGUGGUGAGGACCAGAUGCAACUCAAAGCCAUGGGACCUGGAUCCUCUUACUUCAUGCUUGACAUGGGGGGUGAUGCUCCCAUGGUGCCGAACCAGGUUAAACCACAAUGUGGCUACUCCAUGAAAUACAACUCUUUGGGUCUUGUGUUGAUGGUUCCUUACAACGGCUGUCAUAUGACGCAAGAAGUAAAUGGAUUCUAGUGAAGUUCGUCAUUUCAAUUACGUUAUAAUGAUUGGCAUUCAUGUUCUAAUGGUGCCUUUUUUUUUUUUUUUUUCUAGAAUGGAUUUUAUAUACUGCCAAUGCAGUGGAAGGGGACCCAAGUCAAACUCUGUUGCCCCAUU
Molecule: long non-coding RNA, 677 nt
Organism: Gadus macrocephalus (Pacific cod)
Lineage: Eukaryota; Metazoa; Chordata; Actinopteri; Gadiformes; Gadidae
Exons: 3
Source: RefSeq, a predicted model, not a curated record